UUCAGAACUCCGAGUCAGACAUCACUAAUGUAAUUCUCAGGCUUCCGCUACGAACGACUGAGUUUAAAAGCUUAAUAUUUAGUGCGUUUUAAUAAGACUUUCUGUGUUAUAUUUAGAGUUGACUAAAGAGAAAGGGUCUCAAGAUUAAUUCAGAAUUCAAAUUACAAUGGGAGGAAAUCAUCUUGUCUUUUUGAUGCUUCUUCAGUGGACAGUUAUUGGUGGAGGGAUUUGUGAGCGUAAUGUGGAGGGUGUGUUACACGGUCGAGUGGAGCUCCACGCAUGCCAUAGACCCCAACAAACUGUGAGAAGAGUGGAAUGGGCUAAAUAUAAAAGUUCAUCAGCACCACGUCUGUUAUAUAUAUUUGAUCAGCCAAAUGACACUUCAUGCUUCUUCAACUCUUGCCAAAAUAUUCAGUUAAUUAAAGAGAAUAUGAGUCUUAUUUUUGUUAAUCUGACAAAAGAAGAUGAAGGUGUUUAUCAGAAUAAAUUAUUGCUUAAUUAUAGGACAGCAGAGUCAUGUAACAUCACUUUAUCUGUACUAUCUCCUCCGACUGCAUUAAGGAUAUCUGUGUCCAGUUCUAACUGCACUCUGACCCUGAGGUGUGAGGUGAGAGGACAGUUUCUGAACCUGCACUGGUUUUGGAACGGCCUCCUGCUGCUGCCAGAUGACCAGAGAAUCAGCAUCAGUGAGAGGAACCUGACUGUGCAUGUGUCUAACCUGAACCGCUCAGACUGGGGGACGUACACCUGUCGGGCUUCAAAUGAAGCUGGGACGUCAGAGGCACAUGUGAACAUCACAGAUAACAGUGCUACACUAUGUCAGGACAACAUACAAGAAGAAGAAGAAGAAGAAGAAGAAAAAGAACAACUUUCUACGAAGUUCCUGUACUUAAGUGGGCUCACACUUGGCACCACCAUGCUUUUGUCCAUCAUUUUAGUUUGCAUUUGCAAAAAUGAGAACGGAUAUAAGGAAUUCAUAUCCUCUCAGGCAGAAACUUCAGAGGUGGAGUUUUUGCCGUACCUUUAUGCAGACUUCAUAAAGCCCAAAGCUCUGCAGCAGGCUGCAGAUGAAGGGGAACUUGCUGAGGACUUUACCAAAGUUUUCUACAGUACUGCAGAAUAAGCUCCGCCCUCAAACUGCAGGGUAAUGGAACCACAGGUCUGAACAGUGGUCUUUUGAGAUGCAUUUUUUUACACUGAAAUGUAUUUGUGUGCACAAUUUCUACUGUAAAUAAAUUAGAUAUUAUUAGUUACUGAGGUACA
RNAcentral lists this long non-coding RNA (1263 nucleotides) under Astyanax mexicanus (Mexican tetra). Its description in RNAcentral is "lncRNA (ENSAMXG00005012145.1)". The record is from RNAcentral. Lineage: Eukaryota; Metazoa; Chordata; Actinopteri; Characiformes; Acestrorhamphidae.